This 496-nucleotide ribosomal RNA is filed under the name uncultured bacterium. Its description in RNAcentral is "partial 16S ribosomal RNA". It matches the Rfam family "Bacterial small subunit ribosomal RNA", at positions 29 to 507 of the family's 1533-position model. The record is from RNAcentral.
AUGAACGCUGGCGGCGUGCCUAAUACAUGCAAGUCGAGCGAACAGACGAGGAGCUUGCUCCUCUGACGUUAGCGGCGGACGGGUGAGUAACACGUGGAUAACCUACCUAUAAGACUGGGAUAACUUCGGGAAACCGGAGCUAAUACCGGAUAAUAUAUUGAACCGCAUGGUUCAAUAGUGAAAGACGGUUUUGCUGUCACUUAUAGAUGGAUCCGCGCCGCAUUAGCUAGUUGGUAAGGUAACGGCUUACCAAGGCGACGAUGCGUGGCCGACCUGAGAGGGUGAUCGGCCACACUGGAACUGAGACACGGUCCAGACUCCUACGGGAGGCAGCAGUAGGGAAUCUUCCGCAAUGGGCGAAAGCCUGACGGAGCAACGCCGCGUGAGUGAUGAAGGUCUUCGGAUCGUAAAACUCUGUUAUUAGGGAAGAACAAAUGUGUAAGUAACUAUGCACGUCUUGACGGUACCUAAUCAGAAAGCCACGGCUAACUACGUG